This is a long non-coding RNA of Xenopus tropicalis (tropical clawed frog), 1039 nucleotides long. RefSeq lists it as uncharacterized. The record is from RefSeq and is a predicted model, not a curated record. NCBI's taxonomy places the organism in Eukaryota, Metazoa, Chordata, Amphibia, Anura, Pipidae. The transcript is spliced from 3 exons.
GUACAUGCACUUUACUGUGCAAUCCUCGCAGAUAAAAAGCGAUCUUGCUGGCAGAGUCCAGAGAAGAACCAGUGCAGAAACCCACCAUGAAAACUGCAGUUGUUUUAGUCGUUUUGGGGAUGGUGUUGCUACAUGCUGAAGCUUUGAAGUGUCGGAAAAGCGCAUGUACUGGCCUUAGACCAUGCACGACUACUGAAGUAACAUGUGACUCAAAGUCCACUCUGUGCUUUGUGAUGACGCGCUCCAAGCCCAUAGUUUCACUAACUCGUGGGUGCAUCACGGAGGCAAAUUGUUCCAUACUGAAGGGUUUUGAUCCUAAUGUUCGGUGCUGUUCCAAUGACCUCUGCAACUAAGUAUAGAAGUAUUCUACAGACCUCUGCAACUAAGUAUGAAGUAUUCUACAGACCUCUGCAACUAAGUAUAAGAGUAUUCUACAGCCCUCUGCAACUAAGUAUAGAAGUAUUCUACAGCCCUCUGCAACUAAGUAUAGAAGUAUUCUACAGCCCUCUGCAACUAAGUAUAGAAGUAUUCUACAGCCCUCUGCAACUAAGUAUAGAAGUAUUCUACAGCCCUCUGCAACUAAGUAUAGAAGUAUUCUACAAAUGACCGUAUGUUCUCCUAAUAUGCCCACCUGAAGUGGGCGAUAUAAGGCUAAUUUGAUUAUUUGGCCCUAGAACCAAAUGAUCGAAUUACAAAGAUGUCUAUAGGAGCCGUUGGACUAAGGACCACAUCAAUGAGCUGAUGUGGUUCCUGAUCCAAUGCGAAAGUCAAACCUGCUUGAUCAACUCCUGGCCAAUUUUUGGCCCCAUACAUGGGCAGAUAAGCUACCAAAUCUCGAAUUGGCAGCUGAAAUCUGCCCGUGUAUAGCCACCUUCAGUAUAGACGUAAUCUACAGACCUCUGCAACUAAGAACUAUGCUGAUACCCAAAGAAGCCUACAAUAAUCAGAAAUUGGUUUUACAUUGUAUGUACUUGUUUUGCCAAUAGUUCAUAAUGCUAAAGCUUUAAAAUAAUUUGGAAUAAAAUUGUUUUUGAUUAUA